AGUAGGCAGCUGGAGGUUGAACGUUUGAAGGAGUAGGCAGCUGGAGGUUGAACGUUUGAAGGAGUAGGCAGCUGGAGGUUGAACGUUUGAAGGAGUAGGCAGCUGGAGGUUGAACGUUUGAAGGAGUAGGCAGCUGGAGGUUGAACGUUUGAAGGAGUAGGCAGCUGGAGGUUGAACGUUUGAAGGAGUAGGCAGCUGGAGGUUGAACGUUUGAAGGAGUAGGCAGCUGGAGGUUGAACGUUUGAAGGAGUAGGCAGCUGGAGGUUGAACGUUUGAAGGAGUAGGCAGCUGGAGGUUGAACGUUUGAAGGAGUAGGCAGCUGGAGGUUGAACGUUUGAAGGAGUAGGCAGCUGGAGGUUGAACGUUUGAAGGAGUAGGCAGCUGGAGGUUGAACGUUUGAAGGAGUAGGCAGCUGGAGGUUG
Oncorhynchus keta (chum salmon) is the source of this 422-nucleotide long non-coding RNA. RefSeq lists it as uncharacterized. The record is from RefSeq and is a predicted model, not a curated record. The transcript is spliced from 5 exons. NCBI's taxonomy places the organism in Eukaryota, Metazoa, Chordata, Actinopteri, Salmoniformes, Salmonidae.